AUUGAACGCUGGCGGCAGGCCUAACACAUGCAAGUCGAGCGAGCGGCGGACGGGUGAGUAAUGUCUGGGAAACUGCCUGAUGGCGGGGGAUAACUACUGGAAAAGGUAGCUAAUACCGCAUACCAUCAGAUGUGCCCAGAUGGGAUUAGCUAGUAGGUGGGGUAACGGCUCACCUAGGCGAAGAUCCCUAGAUGGUCUGAGAGGAUGAACAGCAACACUGGAACGGAGACACGGUCCAGCCUCCUACGGGAGGCAGAAGUGGGGAAUAUUGCACCAUGGGCGAAAGCCUGAUGCAGCCAUGCCGCGUGUGUGAAGAAGGCCUUCGGGUUGUAAAGCACUUUCAGCGGGGAGGCGUUACCCGCAGAAGAAGGACCGGCUAACUCCGUGCCAGCAGCCGCGGUAAUUC
RNAcentral lists this ribosomal RNA (406 nucleotides) under uncultured bacterium. RNAcentral's name for it is "partial 16S ribosomal RNA". It matches the Rfam family "Bacterial small subunit ribosomal RNA", at positions 30 to 526 of the family's 1533-position model. The record is from RNAcentral.